CCUACGGGGUGCAGCAGUGGGGGAUAUUGCACAAUGGGGGGAACCCUGAUGCAGCGACGCCGCGUGGGUGAAGGAGUAUUUCGGUAUGUAAAGCCCUAUCGGCAGGGAAGAAAUUGGACGGUACCUGACUAAGAAGCCCCGGCUAACUACGUGCCAGCAGCCGCGGUAAUACGUAGGGGGCAAGCGUUAUCCGGAUUCACUGGGUGUAAAGGGAGCGUAGACGGCCAUGCAAGCCAGGGGUGAAAGCCCGGGGCCCAACCCCGGGACUGCCCUUGGAACUGCAUGGCUGGAGUGCGGGAGGGGCAGGCGGAAUUCCUGGUGUAGCGGUGAAAUGCGUAGAUAUCAGGAGGAACACCGGCGGCGAAGGCAGCAUACCGGCGCCCAACUGACGCUGAGGCACGAAAGCGUGGGGAUCGAACAGGAUUAGAUACCCGUGUAGUC
Molecule: ribosomal RNA, 441 nt
Filed under: uncultured bacterium
Lineage: Bacteria
Description: partial 16S ribosomal RNA
Rfam family: Bacterial small subunit ribosomal RNA
Source: RNAcentral